CUGGCUAUUAUAAAAGGUUUUGGUCGUUACCUCAAAAUGAUUGGCUGCCUAAAAGUACGUAACAAACUGUAAGUAGCUGUUUUCAGAGAGUGGAACCAACGUGAUAUUAAGGAAUUGCCCUUCUCAGGUAUCAGGGAUUUAGUUCUCAUACUUGCCCUCUUGUUGCCAUUCUUUUGGCUCCUCUUUCUUCUUGUAGCACUUGCACUGGACUUCUUCAGCAAGAUAUUAUCUUCGUCCAAAAUAUUACCAUUCCCAUUCACUGGAUGGGAGUUGCUUGAAUUGGCAGAGUCAUGAGAAACUU
This is a long non-coding RNA of Populus trichocarpa (black cottonwood), 301 nucleotides long. RefSeq lists it as uncharacterized. The record is from RefSeq and is a predicted model, not a curated record. The transcript is spliced from 2 exons. Lineage: Eukaryota; Viridiplantae; Streptophyta; Magnoliopsida; Malpighiales; Salicaceae.